RNAcentral lists this long non-coding RNA (296 nucleotides) under Homo sapiens (human). Its description in RNAcentral is "long non-coding RNA NONHSAT163084.1". Lineage: Eukaryota; Metazoa; Chordata; Mammalia; Primates; Hominidae. The record is from RNAcentral.
GUGGCCCGAAACCGCUGCAAUCCCUGAAACCACCUCCCUGGAGCUUGUAACUGGUGUCUGCAGUGUGGGGGCCUCAGGUGGACCAUGCCCUUAACCUGCGAAACCCGACCCAAUGCUGAGGAAUGAGUGUCACAAUUGCAUUGAGAGCAAGUUCAAAGCGAAGGUGACGGUACAGGGCCUGUGGCUGAGAGAUAUGGACCUGGGACGGGAGGCUGCACAGAACGUCUGCAGAGUGCACAGAAGAAACAUCGGGCAGCCUGCGCGCCUCCUGCACCUGAGGAGCUGCGAGGGCAAUG